GGCUCGGUAGCAUGGUUGGCAAAGCGCUCGUCUAGAAUACAAGAGUCCUGGCUUCAUAUCCCAGCCGAGCAC
Molecule: non-coding RNA, 72 nt
Organism: Aedes aegypti (yellow fever mosquito)
Lineage: Eukaryota; Metazoa; Arthropoda; Insecta; Diptera; Culicidae
Source: Rfam